This 568-nucleotide ribosomal RNA is filed under the name Xerocomellus mendocinensis. RNAcentral's name for it is "eukaryotic LSU rRNA". It matches the Rfam family "Eukaryotic large subunit ribosomal RNA", at positions 87 to 652 of the family's 3401-position model. Lineage: Eukaryota; Fungi; Basidiomycota; Agaricomycetes; Boletales; Boletaceae. The record is from RNAcentral.
CUGCGAGUGAAGCGGGAUGAGCUCAAAUUUUGAAUCUGGCGGUCUUCGGCCGUCCGAGUUGUAAUCUAGAGAAGCGUCUUCCGCGCUGGCCCGUGUACAAGUCUCCUGGAAAGGAGCGUCGUAGAGGGUGAGAAUCCCGUCUUUGACACGGACUACCAGUGCUAUGUGAUGCGCUCUCGACGAGUCGAGUUGUUUGGGAAUGCAGCUCAAAACGGGUGGUAAAUUCCAUCUAAAGCUAAAUACAGGCGAGAGACCGAUAGCGAACAAGUACCGUGAGGGAAAGAUGAAAAGAACUUUGGAAAGAGAGUUAAACCGUACGUGAAAUUGCUGAAAGGGAAACGCUUGAUGUCAGUCGCGUCGCCCGGGGAUCAACCUUGCUUAACCGCUCGGCGUACUUCCNGGUCGACGGGUCAGCAUCAGUUUCGGUCGCAGUACAAGGGCGAGGGGAACGUGGCACUCUCCGGAGUGUGUUAUAGCCCUUCGUCGCAUGCCGCGCUCGGGACUGAGGAACUCGGCACGGCUUCGGUCUGUGCUUGGGAUGCUGGCAUAAUGGCCUUAAGCGACCCGU